Molecule: long non-coding RNA, 1358 nt
Organism: Felis catus (domestic cat)
Lineage: Eukaryota; Metazoa; Chordata; Mammalia; Carnivora; Felidae
Exons: 4
Source: RefSeq, a predicted model, not a curated record
ACAGAUGUUACUAAGGAAAGAAUUCUAGGAUAUAAGAACUAAACACUGGUCCUUAUAGGAUCAGCUACACAAGCAGCAGGGGUGUCUCUUGGUUCAUAAGAGAUGGUUUAUAAAUAACACCUACUAUUUUGAACAGAAAAUUUCAAGAGGCAACACAAUUCCGUCAUUCCAACUGGAAGAAGUAGUCUUCUAAAGUUGAGGCCAGCAUGCUGAAGAAAAAUAUUAAACUAUGUAUAACCCUGUGUCAACAUAUGAUGCUACUGGGAAUGAACAGGAUUUUGAAAAGACAGAAAAAAGAAGAGAACGGAUGGGAGAACGAAACCAUGUCCUUCUAGAUCAGAACGAAAUCAAUCCCGCCACCCACAUCUGUGCUGCUUAACUACACUCGUGAGAAGAACACUGAACACUUUUCGGAAUGGCAAUGGAGUCUACGAGAUGGAUGGGCAAGACUUACGGUGACACUCCCUCCUUAGAAAACACACACACACACACACACACACACACACACACACACACACACACCACCCUCUACAUUCCCUUGAGUUUGAAAUGAAUUUCCUAAGUCUCUUCAGGCAUCUUUCUUUUAUUACAGCCCACAUUCAUAUUUCAGUAGAACAACUACAAGGGAGUCACUAAUUUUUUAUCUAAACUAUGACGUUUUGGCAAACGUUAUAUAACCAACUAUAAAUCCACAACAAGCCUCAAAUACUAAAGAGCUGGUAAUUAUAUGAUGAGAAACAGCUUGAUUAUGGGAGAGGCAAGGCGGGCUGUCAACAAACAAACAGCUGUUUCUUAUUGACAACCCAUAACUAGAUCGUGCAUCCCAACAAACUAAGGAGUUUGUUUCUGUUGUUGCUGUUGUGUUUGUUUUUAACUAUUCCACCCCCUUCCCCUCCCACGUCCAAAAUACUGAGUCGAUUUAAACAUUAGAUGCAAACCACAACAGAAGAAUCGGAUACACAAGGAUAACAAGUAAAGCACUACAGACUUAUAAAAAAAUUCUGUACGUAAUAACUAACAGAAGUUUAAAGUAUACUUUCCAAUUCAACUUCAAAUGGCUAUCUUUCCCUGUGCAACACGUCCUGUCAUUACUAUUUAUAAGAGGCAGCUCCGGCAAUGGGCCUGUUUCCUCAUUCUUGGAUUAUGACCACAGCAAUGCUGCCACUCUGAUCCUUUGUUCUGGAAGCUUUCUCCGUAGCUUCUUCCAUCCUCCCUGUUAGCAGCAGGGAAUGAGCAUGGGAAUAAAAAGAACCUUAACAUCACAGGUUAAAAAAAAAAAAAAUCCACAAACGUAAAUGGAAUCUUUAUUUGAUGUCCUCGUCAUACGAAAUAAAAUCACUUUCACAUUUGCACCUUCA